AGACCCAAAUUCCAGACCAAUCCUCAUCUAUAUAGUAGAGAAGCUCAUCCCCUGCACUCUGGGUGUGCUGAUCCCUGCGAUUUUCCCAAAUGUAGGAAACUUGACUGCAUAAUUUGUGGUAGUGGGGGACUGUGUUUGCGCUCUCCCCCC
Molecule: small nuclear RNA, 150 nt
Filed under: Pterocles gutturalis (yellow-throated sandgrouse)
Lineage: Eukaryota; Metazoa; Chordata; Aves; Pterocliformes; Pteroclidae
Description: U1 spliceosomal RNA
Rfam family: U1 spliceosomal RNA
About the family: U1 is a small nuclear RNA (snRNA) component of the spliceosome (involved in pre-mRNA splicing).
Source: Rfam by way of RNAcentral